AAGACUGGAAUUGCUAGUAAUGGCAGGUCAGCAUACUGCCGUGAAUACGUUCCCGGGCCUUGUACACACCGCCCGUCACACCAUGAGAGUUGGGAAUACCCGAAGCCUGUGAGCUAACUUUUUAAGAGGCAGCAGUCGAAGGUAGAAUCAAUGAUUGGGGUGAAGUCGUAACAAGGUAGC
This 180-nucleotide ribosomal RNA is filed under the name uncultured bacterium. RNAcentral's name for it is "partial 16S ribosomal RNA". It matches the Rfam family "Bacterial small subunit ribosomal RNA", at positions 1322 to 1500 of the family's 1533-position model. The record is from RNAcentral.